UACGAGGGGUGCAAGCGUUGCUCGGAAUUACUGGGCGUAAAGAGUGUGUAGGUGGUGAUCUAAGUCUGUCGUGAAAUCUCCCGGCUUAACUGGGAGGGUGCGGCGGAAACUGGAUCGCUAGAGUAUGGGAGAGGUAAGCGGAAUUCCUGGUGUAGCGGUGAAAUGCGUAGAUAUCAGGAGGAACACCUGUGGUGUAGACAGCUUACUGGACCAUUACUGACACUGAGACACGAAAGCGUGGGUAGCAAACAGG
Molecule: ribosomal RNA, 253 nt
Filed under: uncultured bacterium
Lineage: Bacteria
Description: partial 16S ribosomal RNA
Rfam family: Bacterial small subunit ribosomal RNA
Source: RNAcentral